RNAcentral lists this ribosomal RNA (253 nucleotides) under uncultured bacterium. Its description in RNAcentral is "partial 16S ribosomal RNA". It matches the Rfam family "Bacterial small subunit ribosomal RNA", at positions 524 to 776 of the family's 1533-position model. The record is from RNAcentral.
UACGUAGGGUGCAAGCGUUAUUCGGAAUUACUGGGCGUAAAGCGUGCGCAGGCGGUUAUGUAAGACAGAUGUGAAAUGCCCGGGCUUAACCUGGGAACUGCAUUUGUGACUGCAUGGCUAGAGUUUGGUAGAGGGGGGUAGAAUUCCACGUGUAGCAGUGAAAUGCGUAGAUAUGUGGAGGAACACCGAUGGCGAAGGCAGCCCCCUGGGUCAAGACUGACGCUCAUGCACGAAAGCGUGGGGAGCAAACAGG